ACCCUUCUCUGAGGCCACUAAGACACUGCUACAAGGAUUUGUGGGCCAGUGACUUAUGAAGGCAGCACCUUCCAGGAGGGACCAGCGAAGGCAGUGGGGGAAAGCAGGAGAGCAAGUCCUCCCAUCAAAAUGUGGAACACUCUAGCCCCUUCCUCGGAAGAUGAGCUGGACUUCCAGACUCUCAUGGAAUGAACAGAAUACGGCAGAAGUGAUACUACAUGAUUUCCAAGACUAGGUCACAAAAGGUUGUUUCCUCUGCUGAAAUGACCCUUCCUCCUUUGGCCAACCUGGAAAACUACUAUUUGGCCUUCAGAACCCAGUUCCAACAUCACUUCCAGAAGCCUUCCUCGACUCCUCCCAUCACCUCUGUGCUUCUUCACUCCGUGUUGUAAUUUUCUCUCCCUCUACCCCAUACACAGUGAAUUCCUUAAUGGAGAUCCUGCUGCCUUUUUUUUUUUUUUUUGAGAGAGCAAGCAGGAGCAGAUGGGAGGGGCAUGCAGAGCAGAGAGGCCGCCCAGAACCCUGGGAUCAUGACCUGAGCCAAAGGCAGACACUUAACUGACUGAACCUCCCAGGCACCCCAAUCCUGCUUCAUCCUAACAAGGGCAACGUACAAUGUUAGCACACAUUGGAAAAUCAAUAUUGAAAUUUAGUAUUGCUUACUACGUUUUAUUCUGCAUGAGAAUUUUGGAAAGUCGGUAUUGAAAAGGGUGGUACUUUUAAAACCCAAAUCACUACUUUGCUCAAAACCCUGUAGUGGCUCCCCAUUUUACUCAAAGAAAAAACCAAGGUCCCUACAAUGGCCUCCAAGAGGUUCAUAUAAGAAUUUGUCCUGUUUCGGGGCGCCUGGGUGGUUCAGUGGGUUAAAGCCUCUGCCUUCGGCUCAGGUCAUGAUCUCAGGCUCCUGGGAUCGAGC
Molecule: long non-coding RNA, 916 nt
Organism: Lutra lutra (Eurasian river otter)
Lineage: Eukaryota; Metazoa; Chordata; Mammalia; Carnivora; Mustelidae
Exons: 3
Source: RefSeq, a predicted model, not a curated record